This 210-nucleotide unclassified non-coding RNA is filed under the name Hevea brasiliensis (rubber tree). The record is from RNAcentral. Lineage: Eukaryota; Viridiplantae; Streptophyta; Magnoliopsida; Malpighiales; Euphorbiaceae.
AAAACAUUAGCAAGAUGAUAGUAACAUACCCAAUUUUGUGCUCAAUCUGACUACAUCUUACGAAAAUAUAAAGCUAAUAUCCUAAGGAACAUAGAUGUUUACAUUCAUACUACCUCCCCUUUGAGCCAAAUUUUGAGCAGCCUCUACAUGUUGACUACUCAUGGCGCUUUUGCAGUCUCACGAACAAUGGAAAGUUUGGCCAAAAGACCG